RNAcentral lists this ribosomal RNA (448 nucleotides) under uncultured bacterium. RNAcentral's name for it is "bacterial SSU rRNA". It matches the Rfam family "Bacterial small subunit ribosomal RNA", at positions 355 to 825 of the family's 1533-position model. The record is from RNAcentral.
UCGAGAAUCUUCCGCAAUGGGCGCAAGCCUGAUGCAGCGACGCCGCGUGGGUGAAGAAGGUUUUCGGAUCGUAAAACCCUUUUCUGUGUGACGAGAACGGACGGUAGCACAGGAAUAAGUCUCGGCUAACUACGUGCCAGCAGCCGCGGUAAAACGUAGGAGACAAACGUUAUCCGGAGUUACUGGGCGUAAAGGGCGUGCAGGCGGCAGUCUAAGUCUGGCGUGAAAUAUCCCGGCUCAACCGGGAGAGGUCGUCGGAUACUGGGCAGCUCGAGGGCGGUAGAGGCGUGUGGAAUUCCGGGUGUAGUGGUGAAAUGCGUAGAGAUCCGGAGGAACACCAGUGGCGAAGGCGACACGCUGGGCCGCACCUGACGCUAAGACGCGACAGCAUGGGGAGCGAACAGGAUUAGAUACCCAAGUAGUCCCUGAGCGGGCUGGCAAGGCGCAU